This is a long non-coding RNA of Erinaceus europaeus (western European hedgehog), 7079 nucleotides long. RefSeq lists it as uncharacterized. The transcript has 6 exons. NCBI's taxonomy places the organism in Eukaryota, Metazoa, Chordata, Mammalia, Eulipotyphla, Erinaceidae. The record is from RefSeq and is a predicted model, not a curated record.
GGAGCGUGAAAGGAUGAAUGAAAAGUCAGGUGCCGGAGCGGGCAGGGGCCAGAGCAGCAGCAGAGGUCGGAGACAGUGGGCACUCUGGCCCCCAGCCCAGAUCGAACCCGGAGCCCAGAGCCUGGCUCUCGGAAUUCGGGCUGCCCGGUCGGGUCGCAGGACCUCGCAGGAAAGCUCGGAUGGCCGCCCGGGGCUCCACGAACUGUUUGUAUAACUAGAAUUCCAUUACAUAUAAGAUUUCUUUUAAGAAGAGAGAAGCCAGGCCAGAGCACCUACAUUCCCAGACCUCCUGCAUGCAAGUCCUGUACUCUGCCUCUGAGCCAUCUCCCCAACAGCUGGAAGCCAAAUUCUAGAUUAAUUGCUGCUGCUACCUCCCCUCCUCCUCCUCCUCUUCUUUUUUUUUUAAUGGUUCUGGGUACUGAACCCAAGGCCUCACAGAUUCACGGUAUAUGCCCUGCCACUGAGCUCUAGCCCCAGCCCUAAAUUCUAUUCUUGGUUUUUGUUUUGCUUUGACCAGUGUACUACUCAACUUUGGUAUAUGGUGGUGCUGAGAAUUGAACUUGGGACCUCAGAGAUAGACACAGCAUUGUAGCUUCUCCAGUACCACCAAAGCAUUAACUAUCCUUGUGGUGUUAGGGCUCCAGCCUAGAUCCUGUACAUGGCAUGAUGGGUGGGUCUCUGCUGAGCUAUAGUUCUCCAGUCCUUUUCCCCUCUGCUUUUAAAGGUUUUUAUUUAUUUGAUGCAGGACAUAAAGUUUCACCUGAGAGAGGGGAACCAGAGCACCACUCACGGGAAGCCUCAGCCAGGCAAGUUUUGCAUGCUAUCAGCUAAGCCACCUCCCCAACUUCCCAUUUCUCUCCUCAGCUGUUCACCUCAAUUCCCUCCUACUACAUUCUGAUUCCAGGAAUUCAAAGGCAAUUUUCUCCUAAUAUUUGGCCUGAUUUUUGCUUUUUCCCUCACACCCUUACCCUAGCACCAAUGUUUCCUAGUUUUAGACACCACAUUUAAAAGGUGUUACUAAAAGGUCCUUAGAGUUACUGAGCAGGAACUAAUGACAAUCAGAACAGACUUCCAUAGUGAGGGAAAGAAAUCCAGAGUUGGGCAGUAGGGUAGUGCAGUGGAUUAAGUGCAGGUAGCACAAAGCACAAGGACAGGCAUAAGGAUUCCGGUUCGAGCCCCUGGCUCCCCACCUGCAGGGGAGUUGCUUCACAGGUGGUGAAGCAGGUAUACAGGUGUCUUUCUCUCCCCCUCUCUGUCUUUCCCUCAUCUCUCCAUUUCUCUCUGUCCUAUCUAACAACGAUGAUAUCUAUAACAACAACAUUAAUAAUUACAACAGCAAUAAAAAAAACAGCAAGGGCAAUAAAAGGGAAAGUAAAUAAAUUUUUUUUAAAAAGAAUUUAUACCCUUGGGCCAGGGUGGUGGCAUAGUGGUCCUGUAAGAGACUUACCUGCUCUGAGGUCCCAGAUUCACAAGCACUGCUGUGAGCCAGAGAUGAGCAAUACUCUGGUAAAAUAAUAAAAUUAAAUUAAAAAUAGGCGCCAGGCAGUGGCACACCUGGUUAAGAGCACAUAGUAUAGUGUGCAAGGAUGCAGUUUCAAGCCCCUGGUCCCCACCUGCAAAGGGAAAGCUUCACAAGUGGUGAGACAGGGCUGCAGGUGUCUCUAUGUCUCUCUCCCUCUCUAUCUCCCCAACCCUCUCAAUUUCUCUCUAUCUGUAUCCAAUAAUAGAUAAAUAAUAUUUUUUAAAAAUAAAAAAUUAAAUCAAUCAAUACAGUAAGUCUGGGAGAAGCGAACGGUCCUUGGGAAGCAUGUUAUGGGAAGAAGAGUAAAGGAAUGUGGUAGAAUGACCGUUGCGUUCAUUCUCCUUAAAGGAUCUCACCAUUUUUUGGUAAGAGUACUUAGGAUAGACAGAAAAAAAUGAAAUGUGUAGUCACUAACCCCCCCCCCCUUUUCUUUACUUUCUAACCAGAGCACUAUUCCCUAUUCCUUUCUGACUCAUGGUGGUCGUGGGAAUUGAAUCUGGAACCUCAGAGCCUCAGGAUCAAUGAGGGUUUUUUUGCAUCACCACUGAACCCUCUUUAUCACAGACACUAAGGAUAGAACUUUUCUUUUUUCUUGGCCACACUUCUCCAACAUACAUACACUCUGACUCCCAAGAUGCAUAACCCACAAGCAAAGCCCAGAUCCCUUUCUAUUCUUCUAUGUUAGAUGUUCUCCUUGGAAGUUUGCACUUCCUUGGGUUCCAGAUGUUUCAUUCAUUCAUUCCCAGGCUGAUGUUCUAAGGGCCUCCUUUGCUACCUCCAAAGCACUGUAGAGAAAGAGACUGAGCUUCACUGAGGCUGACUGUUAUUUUUGAAACAAUGGAAGAACAGGGUUAUGGAAGGUGAAGGUAGGUUGGUGCGAAUUCAGAGAGCAGAAAGUUGAGAGAAAAGGGGAACCCUUCCUUGCUGCCAAGUCUCUCCUCCAGGGCUCUGAGUGCUACCCCCCUCCUUUUGCCCUAAUCCCCCCAUUAAGGCUGCUCUGUGUUUGUUAUGACAGCGGCUGAAGGCGGCUGAAUCGCUGUUUGCCAUGUCUGCUAAUUGGACUGAAGGGUUGGGAUCUGGACACUGAAAAGGACCAUUGUUGCUGUUUACCUUCCACAGCUGCCUCCCUGGAGACCUUCUGGGUGAAGGGGAGCAGCAUGUCCUCAGGGUCGUUGCACCCUGUCCCUAUCUGCACAGAGGACUGAGGUGGAGAGACACUCUCAUUACCUUGGGGGUGGUUUGAGGCUCCAUAGCUCCAGAGACCAGCCUGACACCUGAGUCCAUCUACAAGCCAGGCAUGGAGUUGUCUGGAGCACCAGGAGAGGAGAAUGCUACACUUGAGCUUCUGUCUCUCAUUUGUCCCCCUGUCACUUGUCACCAAGGGCCCUCACUUAUAUUUAUUUAUUUAUUUAUUUAUUUAUUUAUUUCAUAGAGACAGAGCAAUUGAGAGGGGCAGGGAGAUAGAGAGGAAGAGGAAAAUAAUGACCUCUCAUGGCACUUCCCCCCCUGCAGAUGAGGACCAGGGACUUGAACCUUGGUCUUCCACAUAGAUAGCAUGUGUGCUCAACUAGGUGUGCCACUGCCUGACUCCCUAGGGGCCAAUGUUGAUCUUAUUCAACCCAGCCACCAGCUUAUUCUUUUUUAUUUUCUCUAACCAGUGGUUCUCAACUUAGUUAUAUGCUAAAAUCACUCAGGGAAUGCUUAAGAGAAAAUUGAUGUUUGAGCCCAGUCCCAGACCAGUGAAAUCAGAGUAUCAGGGAAUGAGAUCUCAGGCACCAGUAGUGCUCCCUGGAUGUGUCCAAUGGGUAGCUAACAUUUGGGUCCUAUCUCCACCUGAGACACACACACACACACACACACACACACAGUCAGUCAGUCACACCAACACACCCUGUCCCCAUGCCCCUCCCGAGCUUUAUCAUCAGGCAGUAUGUGUAUCUUCAGUUGUGUCCCACCCUCCCUUUAUCACUAAAUUCCUUGCAGAAGUUGAGAAUUCAGGUUGGAAUUCAGAGCUCUGUGACCUGUCUCCUACUUCCCCCUGAGCUCUUCUCCAAGAGCUGGAACUGCAACUCCCUUUCCCUAGGCAUCUCCAAAGGAGAAAAUCCAGACUGAGAUCCUCCCAGAUGCAGGAAUCCUUAGGUGUGGGAGGGUGGGAGGCACAAUGUUUCAUUGACUCUUAUGUUUUUACUCCCCAAAGUAGUACUGACACUGUGGAGAAACUCUUAUCUGGAAUGCCGCCCCCCCUUCUUACCAGUCUGCACAGUUUUUGCUCCUCACCUGAGGCAGCGUUAUCUCCUUCACUCUGCAUAUGCCACGAGGGUGGGGCAAGCAUGCCAAGGUCAUGCAUCUGGCUAGCAGAGGUGCCCAGGUCCUGUCUUCCAGCCUGGUCCUCCCUGCCUGCCUAAUGUGUCUGCUACUUCCACCAGGAGUCUUCUCACAGGAGCAGGUCUGAUGCGGAUCGGGAGCAUUCAUAACUGCCCCCAUACCACAAAGGACAAUGAGAGGCAUGCCUAGGACUUGAGAUGUUCAGAUGUAAGAUGAGAGACAGAGAGAAGAGGAGGCAUCAUAGCACUGUUUCCCGUGUGCACAGUACUUCUAUGUGAUGACCAGAGGCUCAAACCCUGGCCCUCGAUGGCAAAGUGUGUGCUCUACCAGUGGGAUGCUUGAACCAGUGGCAUGAUGUCGGGCUGAGCUUCACUGACGGGAGACAGACGACCCGGGACUCAUGGCUGGAUUGUAUGCAGUAUCUCUUUAUUCAUGCUGGACGCAGCACAAUCUAAGCCGAACUAAACUAAACUAACUGAAAACAAUCUUGUCCUUAUAUAUAUAUAUAUACUAGCCAAGUAGGGUGGGGACAGGAUGUGACAUAGAGAGGGUGGAGAGAAAAGUGACUGGUGAAUAUCAGAAUGUGACAAGGAGAGGCAAGAAUUCCACCACUGAACCACCAAUGCCCUGGAGGGAGGGUGGUGCUUGUUAACAGUGGUUAUAUAAAUAGAAUACAGUGGUUAUGUAAAUAGAAUGCAGUGUUAAGCAGGGGGGAUUAAACCAAAUGAAACAGAAGAGGUUUUUAGAAGUAGAAUUAGAAGCAUACCAACAGCAUGACAGCAGGCCCUAACAGAAAGAGACUCUGGGCUUUGACUAGGGAACUGGAUAGGUGGGUAAGGGCCCGAUUCUGAGGUCCUUAUUAGUUGGGUGACCUCAGUAAUGUCACUUCAUGUCUUUCUGACCCUGACCUCCUUUCCUAGUUGUCCUAGCAUUAGACCAGUUGGGUGUGUUUGUUUAUGAGAAAAAGAGAGGGAGUAAGAGAACCAGAGCAUCACUAUGGCACAUGUGAUGCCGGAAAUUAAAUUCAGGACCUCAUACUUGAGUGUCUAACACUGUCUAUACACUGAGCCUCCAGAGCCACUUUAAAAAAAAAAAAAGAUUUAUUUAUUAAUGAGAAAGAUAGGAGGAGAGAAAGAACCAGACAUCACUCUGAUACAUGUGCUGCCAGGGACUGAACUCAGGACCUCAUGCUUGAGAGUCCAGCACUUUAUCUACUGCGCCCACCACCUCUCGGACCACCUUUUUUUUUUUUUCUUAAACUGUUUUUAUUUUUACUUUAAACAGCUAGGCAAAGGACUCUGUGACCCACCACUUCUUUCCCACAGGCCAAGUAUGAAUGCUACCCAGUGCUCCUGGGGGAGGGGAAGCAUGGGGGAAGCCAACUCUCCACCCUGCCCUAGCCUAUCAGUGUCCCCCGCCUGCUGCCCUGGACUCCAUCUCUCCUGAGGGAGCCGAGCUAGGCAUGGAGACCCUCUCUGAACACCUCCACAAGUGCUUCCUCUCUGUCCUGCCACUUAUGCCCCAGUCAAGUCCCUGAGCUGGGAUACUGCAUACCCUAGGUCACCAGAAACAGCUCAGCUCAGCCCUGUCUUACUCCCCCUGCCCAGGGGCUGGAAACCCUCUGAGAAGGAGUUCUGUUGUCCCUCAGUUGCCAUGCCCUGUGUAGGCAGGAAGUGGGCAUCACCCCCACAGACAGAGAUGGAGCCUGUGGACUGGAGGGGAGGACCAGGCUGGCAUAUGUAGGAGAACCCUGGGCACAGGGCUGCCUUCUGCUGGGUUCGUCCAUCUGGCACCAGCUGGCUUCCUGGCACCAACCCUGCAACCAAUCAGACUCCUUCUCCUGUUGCCAUGGCAACUAGCUGCCAUCUUGUUCUCUGGGCACUGUCUCAUACCUGGGCUUCCCCAAGGGCUUCCAGAGGUUGGGAGCCAGGUCCCCAAGGGUAUCUUUUCUCCUUUUGUCCAAGAAUGCUCAUAUUGAUAUGGAAUGUUCAAGAACCAAUGUGGAGGCUUGCUGUUGGGCAGGCUGCCUGUACCACCUGUGUUCUUGACUGUGGUUGGGAAAGCAAGAGUGGCAUCAAGUUUAAGAUGGUUUUAAGCUGGUGCCCCAUUUCUACAACAGAUUUUCACUCUGUCCAGCCAAAAAAAUCCUGAUCUUGUUUAUUCCUGCCUUAGGAAAUUCUUCCCUGUGUCUAACCAAGAGCUGCUCUGUUGAUGCUCCAUUUCCUUGCCCUUGGCUUGGUGUUAAUGAGAUAUAAGGAUGGAAAGGAGGUGGCACAGUGGAUAAAGCAUCGUACUCUCAAGCAUGAUCCCUAACAGUGCAUGUGCCAGUGAUGUUCUGCAUCUCUCUCUCUCUCUCUGAUAAAUAUAUCAUUUGUCUUCUUUAUUUCUUUUCUUCCUUCUUUUUUUUUUUCUUUUUAGGAUGGAAAUGGGGAGCUGGCAUCAGACAGAGUGGGCACCUUGACCUAGAGGGCCAACUCCAGGCUGGCUUUGUUGAGAGGCUCUGGAAGGAGGAGGAACAGGUGGAAAGAGAAAAGUGGUGGGUGGGCUGGAGGCAAGGAUCUGGGGAUAAAUUAUGAUUUCAUUAUUCCCCACCCUUCCACACCAGCCCUCUGUUACUGUACUGUUGCUAGGAGACCCUAGUGAGGCUGGGGGGGUUUAAGAGGGGUGCCUCUGCAUCUGGACUCUCUUUCCCCCUCUCCCCAGAGGAGAGCCCCCAUCUUCUCAGCCCUGGACAGGCACCAAUGUCUUCUAUUAUUUCCCCCAUCAGUUUAGGGAGAGUGGGAAUCCCAGGCAGACAGAGGGUCUUGAACAAGGGAUGGGAAAGGGGGCUAAGGAGGGAGAAGUGGCCAAGUUAGUUGGAGUGCUAAAGAAUAGCUGUCUUGUCUGGGGGCCUGUUGGGCCUGGCAGAAGGAAGGCCAGAGAGAGUAGGGGACACAAGUCCCAGGAACACAGCCCUUUAGGAAGUUGUAAUAUGAUGGGCAGGACAGACCUCCCACCCCACCCCUCUAGAAUAUGUCAAGGUCAAGAUUCAGGAAUUGGUAGAUAUGGUGGCUGGGGAUACAAGUCUGGAAAGUAGGGAACAUGUAGUGAGGAGGAUGGUGACAAUGACUUGAGCAGAGUUGGACAGUUGGGGAGGCAGCAUAGUAGUGAUACAAACAGAUUUUCAUGCCUUAGACUCCACAAAAUUCAAUCCCUAGCGCCACCAUAAGCCAGAGCUGAACAGCACUCAGAU